RNAcentral lists this ribosomal RNA (272 nucleotides) under uncultured bacterium. Its description in RNAcentral is "partial 16S ribosomal RNA". It matches the Rfam family "Bacterial small subunit ribosomal RNA", at positions 793 to 1055 of the family's 1533-position model. The record is from RNAcentral.
GUCCACGCUGUAAACGAUGGAUGCUAGUUGUCGCGGGUAACCAACCCUGCGGUGACGAAGCUAACGCGAUAAGCAUCCCGCCUGGGGAUUACGGCCGCAAGGCUAAAAACUCAAAAGGAAUUGACGGGGGCCCGCACAAGCGGUGGAGUAUGUGGUUUAAUUCGACGCAACGCGCAGAACCUUACCCAGACUUGACAUCCUCGGAACCUGGCCGAAAAAGCUGGGGGUGCUCGCAAAGAGAAACCGGGAGACAGGUGCUGCAUGGCUGUCGU